RNAcentral lists this long non-coding RNA (311 nucleotides) under Rattus norvegicus (Norway rat). Its description in RNAcentral is "long non-coding RNA NONRATT033743". Lineage: Eukaryota; Metazoa; Chordata; Mammalia; Rodentia; Muridae. The record is from RNAcentral.
GGCAGUUUGAUUGAUUGACCAUUUGCCCAUUUAUCAGUUGCAACUUUUUCCUUGUUCACUUCUACCAACUUUCCUUUCAUUACUAUCAUGGUGUCUUCUCCAUGGAAGGAUAUGCAAAGAUGUUGGACAGAAGACAACACCGUUGAGCCGGAAGGAAUAUUAGAGAAGGUGUCAUCAGACAUUACUCUUUUCCAGGAAUCUACCUUUUCAAUGGGCCAUUGUCUUGCUCAUGACCUUCUGGGUCAACCCAGAAGCCCAAGGCAGCAGUUUCCAAGUUCCCAGAGUAUGACUUCAUCUCAGGAGAAGACACC